Molecule: long non-coding RNA, 1169 nt
Filed under: Serinus canaria (Common canary)
Lineage: Eukaryota; Metazoa; Chordata; Aves; Passeriformes; Fringillidae
Description: lncRNA (ENSSCAG00000007379.1)
Source: RNAcentral
GUUUAAGGGAAAAAAACUUUAUUAACCUAAAACUACAAAGGAAAACACUAAGGAAAAACACACAAAAUACAUAGAACCCAAGAUGAAAACCUUCCAAAUUUCUUCCUCCUCCCCCCACCUAGAUUUCCAAUUCCAUUACCACCAAAUCCACCCUUUAGAUAAUCAGUUCUCAAUUCCUCGAGAAGAGAGAAGUCCCUCUUGCACCACAGACUUCCCCAGGAAACAGUCGAAACUUCUCGUGUUUCCAUGUCACAUGUGGCACCGCCCGGAGAACAUUUUGCCAUCGUGACUUCUUCCUUCCAUGUCCAGAGCUCUCACCACUGCACAUGGAUCAGAGCUGCUUCUAGGGUUUUUCCCUUUAAGGAUACUUUGUCCAGUUCCAAAAAGAGCACAGUCCCUCUCCUUUUGGGACACCUGUCCCCCCCAAAUUUCACCCCCUGGGGCCGAGGGGUCUCUUGAACAGAGAUCAUCUUCCUCUUCUUCGAAGACGGAGGGCACCACCACCACCCUCCUCACCCGUCGUCUCUGUUCACAACCUCCACAUCACCGCACUCUCCUGGCUCUGAGCCAUCGCCUCCCCCUAGAAUGCAGUCUCUGUGUCACAGGAACACAAGGGGUUCUGCUGUGGCUAUACAAGAAAAGUCCAGCCAAAGGCCACUCCAUCAUCUCCUCCCACCUAGGAUUCUUCUCAACAUCCUCUCAAUCUCAUCAACUUCAGGAGGAAUCAGCAUUUGCAAGGUUUCCAUCCUCCCCAGAAGGGUUAAAAGUCCAGGCUCUGCCGGUUUGCUUCAUGAACUCCCACGCCUGGCUGCCCUGCUGGGCACCCCCCCUUCUCCUUCACGCCGGCCGCGCUAUCACAGGCACCGGCUCUGUCUCUCUCUCCCUCUCUCUCGGGGGGGGGAAUGGAGGAUGGCUGCCCGAAGCCCUUGCAAUGUUCUCCUCCACCCUUGGGCCCAGGCCUGGCCUACCUCCGGCCACAUGGCUCCCCUCCCCCCCCCUGCCCAGCUCGGCCGGGCAGGGGGGAGGUCUACUCACUCUCAAGCGGGACUCCAAGAGGAAGUUCCCCUGGGAGAUCACAGCUUUUAACCCCUGUGUUCUCAGAGGCGUAUCCUGCCCUCAGUGGACAAACCAGGUGCCAAUAUUAAAUCUGAACACUGAUUGGCUUGCCC